Molecule: ribosomal RNA, 403 nt
Filed under: Salmonella enterica subsp. enterica serovar Typhimurium
Lineage: Bacteria; Pseudomonadati; Pseudomonadota; Gammaproteobacteria; Enterobacterales; Enterobacteriaceae
Description: bacterial SSU rRNA
Rfam family: Bacterial small subunit ribosomal RNA
Source: RNAcentral
CUGCCUAGUAGUGGGGGAUAGCUCGGGGAAACUCGAAUUAAUACCGCAUACGACCUACGGGUGAAAGGGGGCGCAAGCUCUUGCUAUUAGAUGAGCCUAAAUCAGAUUAGCUAGUUGGUGGGGUAAAGGCCCACCAAGGCGACGAUCUGUAACUGGUCUGAGAGGAUGAUCAGUCACACCGGAACUGAGACACGGUCCGGACUCCUACGGGAGGCAGCAGUGGGGAAUAUUGGACAAUGGGGGCAACCCUGAUCCAGCCAUGCCGCGUGUGUGAAGAAGGCCUUUUGGUUGUAAAGCACUUUAAGCAGGGAGGAGAGGCUAAUGGUUAAUACCCAUUAGAUUAGACGUUACCUGCAGAAUAAGCACCGGCUAACUCUGUGCCAGCAGCCGCGGUAAUACAGAG